Molecule: ribosomal RNA, 1458 nt
Filed under: Triticum aestivum (bread wheat)
Lineage: Eukaryota; Viridiplantae; Streptophyta; Magnoliopsida; Poales; Poaceae
Description: partial small subunit ribosomal RNA
Source: RNAcentral
AUGGCGUCCGGCUUCGGGUUCCCGAUACUGUCACCAGCGGAGAUCGCGGAGCAGCUGUUCCAGUACGGGAUCGCCCCCAUCGCCAACCUCCGCCCCGAGAACAUCGCCAGCCCGCAGCCUGACUUGCUCCCUGGCGUCCUCGCCCGCUUCUUCGACUCCUUCGUCGAUGCCCCCGGGGACGGCGAGGAUGGGCUGCUAGGGUUCAGCGACCUGGAGGUGCUGGACAACCCGGAGCACCACGCGGAGGCCAUCCGGGUGCUACGCCUCUACAACAAGUCGCAGGCCUUCCUCGACUCCAUCCAGUUCAAGGACUUCACGCUCGCCGACUUCACCCGCCCCACCCCGCGCCGCGUCGUCGAGGUCCUCAGCGCCCUCAUCAACUUCCUCUUCUACAGGGAGGAGAAAGUCACCCUCCUGCAGCCCAUCGUCAGCGAGACCCCCGACUACCACGAGCGCACUCUGGAGCUCAAGGCCAGGAUGACCCAGCUUCAGAAGGAGAUCGCGGAUCAUGAGCUCGCAGAGCAGAUGGAGGAGCCCAUGGCCCAGCAGCUGGAAGCAGACGUCAAUGCUCUGCAGCAGAAAGUUCAGGUUUACAACAAGCAGCAACUGGCCCUGCGAGCAAAGGCCGCAGCCAUCAAUGACAAGAAAGAGGAGAUUCACAGGAAGAUAACCCAGGCUGAUUUUGAGUUGACUAAACAUGCCCAAGAAAACUCCAGAUUGAUGUCCAAAUUAGUAAAGUCCCCAGAAAAAGUUCAGAGGGCCUUGGAAGAGAAGAAAUCAGCCCGUGCUAAGUUGAAAGAGUCUGAGAAAAUAGCAAUGCAAAAUGAUCAAGAGAAAUCUGCCACUUUGGAGAUACGCAAUAAGGCUCAUGAAAAACUGACGAAGCAACACUCUAAAAUCCAGGAUGUACAUGAACAGCUUGUUGCUGCUAAAACAGUUGAAAAGGAAGUUAAAGCUCGCAAAGCGAAGCUUAAUGAUGAAAGUGUAUCAGUUAUGUCAUUUGACGCACAGAUUGUUGAUUGGCAAGGAAAAGUACAUGAAAUGGAGGAGCGUCUCAAGGGGAAAGUGAAAGAAAGGAAUCAAAUAAUAGCAGAUGAAAAUCAGAAGCUGGGCGCUUUGAGCUCCGAGAUUGAGGGUAAACUGCAGUGCCUUGAACCUAGAGAAAAGAAAGUAGAGGCAACGAUCGCUAAGGCUUCAAAUUUGUGUUCGGAAGCUGCUUCAGCAAGGACUGCUGCCACAGCAGAACAGCAGAAAAUUCGUUCAAAAUUCAACAGCAUUGUGAAGGCGUUCAACACCUACAUGGAUAGCGUCGACCCUUUCCUCGAGGGAGUUGAGGAGGUUGGCAGGCAAUCGGCAGGGGAAGGCGCCUCUGCCCCUGAUCCAUCUGCCGCCGUCACAACAAAAACCACACCGAGAGCCAGCGCAAUGAGCAAGAAGAGGGCUAGGAAAAGGACAUGA